RNAcentral lists this ribosomal RNA (487 nucleotides) under uncultured bacterium. Its description in RNAcentral is "bacterial SSU rRNA". It matches the Rfam family "Bacterial small subunit ribosomal RNA", at positions 501 to 987 of the family's 1533-position model. The record is from RNAcentral.
CUACGUGCCAGCAGCCGCGGUAAUACGUAGGGUGCGAGCGUUAAUCGGGAUUACUGGGCGUAAAGCGAGCGCAGACGGUUACUUAAGCAGGAUGUGAAAUCCCCGGGCUCAACCUGGGAACUGCGUUCUGAACUGGGUGACUAGAGUGUGUCAGAGGGAGGUAGAAUUCCACGUGUAGCAGUGAAAUGCGUAGAGAUGUGGAGGAAUACCGAUGGCGAAGGCAGCCUCCUGGGAUAACACUGACGUUCAUGCUCGAAAGCGUGGGUAGCAAACAGGAUUAGAUACCCUGGUAGUCCACGCCCUAAACGAUGUCAAUUAGCUGUUGGGCAACUUGAUUGCUUAGUAGCGUAGCUAACGCGUGAAAUUGACCGCCUGGGGAGUACGGUCGCAAGAUUAAAACUCAAAGGAAUUGACGGGGACCCGCACAAGCGGUGGAUGAUGUGGAUUAAUUCGAUGCAACGCGAAGAACCUUACCUGGUCUUGACAU